RNAcentral lists this ribosomal RNA (915 nucleotides) under uncultured bacterium. Its description in RNAcentral is "bacterial SSU rRNA". It matches the Rfam family "Bacterial small subunit ribosomal RNA", at positions 10 to 923 of the family's 1533-position model. The record is from RNAcentral.
AGUUUGAUCCUGGCUCAGGAUGAACGCUGGCGGCGUGCCUAAUACAUGCAAGUCGAACGAAUCUCUUUUAGAGAUGAGUGGCGAACGGGUGAGUAAUACAUAGGUAACCUGCCCCUGUGCGGGGGAUAACAGGAGGAAACUCCUGCUAAUACCGCAUAGCCAUGAGCACCGCACGGAGCUCAUGCCAAAUAUCCUUUAUGGGAUAGCGCAGGGAUGGACCUAUGGCGCAUUAGCUGGUUGGCGGGGCAACGGCCCACCAAGGCAACGAUGCGUAGCCGGCCUGAGAGGGCGGACGGCCACAUUGGGACUGAGACACGGCCCAGACUCCUACGGGAGGCAGCAGUAGGGAAUUUUCGGCAAUGGGGGAAACCCUGACCGAGCAACGCCGCGUGAGCGAAGAAGGCCUUCGGGUCGUAAAGCUCUGUUGUAAAGGAAGAACGGCGCAUACAGGAAAUGGUAUGCGAGUGACGGUACUUUACCAGAAAGCCACGGCUAACUACGUGCCAGCAGCCGCGGUAAUACGUAGGUGGCGAGCGUUAUCCGGAAUCAUUGGGCGUAAAGAGGGAGCAGGCGGCCGCAAGGGUCUGUGGUGAAAGACCGAAGCUAAACUUCGGUAAGCCAUGGAAACCGGGCGGCUAGAGUGCGGAAGAGGAUCGUGGAAUUCCAUGUGUAGCGGUGAAAUGCGUAGAUAUAUGGAGGAACACCAGUGGCGAAGGCGACGGUCUGGGCCGCAACUGACGCUCAUUCCCGAAAGCGUGGGGAGCAAAUAGGAUUAGAUACCCUAGUAGUCCACGCCGUAAACGAUGGUCACUAAGUGUCGGGGGUCAAACCCCGGUGCUGCAGUCAACGCAAUAAGUGACCCGCCUGAGUAGUACGUUCGCAAGAAUGAAACUCAAAGGAAUUGACGGAAGGGCG